RNAcentral lists this non-coding RNA (263 nucleotides) under Pseudomonas phage vB_VIPPAEUMC01. Its description in RNAcentral is "Intron_gpI". It matches the Rfam family "Group I catalytic intron". From Rfam's summary of the family: Group I catalytic introns are large self-splicing ribozymes. They catalyse their own excision from mRNA, tRNA and rRNA precursors in a wide range of organisms. The record is from RNAcentral. Lineage: Duplodnaviria; Heunggongvirae; Uroviricota; Caudoviricetes; Vandenendeviridae.
CUGAGAUCAUUGGUCGCCAAUUUAACCGAUCUCCUGCGAAAAACGUAAAAUAUGGGUAAGAGAUCAAGCCCAUGUAAAACUGUGUGAAUUCAGGGGAAGACUAGAACAGUCAAUCCUGAGCCAAGCUAGAGUGAUCUAGAAAGGUGCAACGACUAUCGAAACCACGGCGGGAGCCGGAAGGGAGUAGAGUAGGGUCAAGUGACCCGAAGCGCACAGGGCGCGAGAGCGUCAUGAUAUAGUCUGGUCUGCAUGGGAACAUGCAG